Molecule: ribosomal RNA, 472 nt
Filed under: Nesticella gongshanensis
Lineage: Eukaryota; Metazoa; Arthropoda; Arachnida; Araneae; Nesticidae
Description: partial 16S ribosomal RNA
Rfam family: Bacterial large subunit ribosomal RNA
Source: RNAcentral
CAAAAACAUCUUUUAAAGAAAAUUCAUAUUAAAUAUAGCCUGCUCCCUGUAAAAAAUAAAAAGCCGCAGAAAAUUUACUGUGCUAAGGUAGCAUAAUCACUUGUCUUUUAAUUAAAGACUAGAAUGAAAGGCACAACAAUUAAUUAAUUUUAUUAAUUAUUCAAUUUUAACUUUCAAUAAAAAUAAAAAUAUUUUUAUUUACAUAAAAGACGACAAGACCCUAGCGAACUUAACUGCAGUUAAGCUGGGGAAGCUUACUAAUAAUUAUCUUAACUUUUUAAUUUUAAUAAAAAUCCUUAUUUUGAAUUUGACCAAGUUACCGAAGGGAUAACAGCGUGAUAUACUUUUUAAGCUCAUAUUUAUAAAGACAUAUACGACCUCGAUGUUGAAUUAAUUUAGCUAACUUAUGCAAGAAUAAAAAAAGCAAGUCUGUUCGACUUUUAAAUAAUUACAUGAUCUGAGUUCAAACCGG